This is a long non-coding RNA of Armigeres subalbatus, 564 nucleotides long. RefSeq lists it as uncharacterized. The transcript is spliced from 3 exons. The record is from RefSeq and is a predicted model, not a curated record. Lineage: Eukaryota; Metazoa; Arthropoda; Insecta; Diptera; Culicidae.
UGAGAUGGUAAUUUACAAGAUAAUCGAAUACUCAACUGAUCUUUCGCAAAUUACCACAUGGUCGUGUUGUUAAGAUCCCACAAAGGCGAAAACUUUGCCGGGGGAGAUUGGACCAUUUGUUUGUCCAACAUGUACCUCAAGUUCCACCAAGGUCUUACCCAAGCAACAGUAACAAACUCUAACCAUCCAACCAAUUCCGGAGAGAAUACCUUCGGUGCGAUAGAACAAGCAACUUUCUCAUUACCAGCAAUUGUUUGUUUUCCGUUGCCGCCCACGACUGCCGUUACGGGCAUUUAACAGCCAGUGUGCCAGGUCCCAUCCAUUGCGAAGCACCCGGCGACGAUCGAAUGACAAACCGAGCUACAGACUUUGUUUUACCACCACCGACCGACCGACCGACCGGUACGCAAUAAGUGCUCGAACGGCACCUUGCCGGGUGCGGCCGCCGCUGGAACCAAGAUCUGAGGAUAAUACCGACACGGUAACUAGAAGACGACAACCGACGGAUGGUCUGUUAUGCUCAUAAUUGACCUACUGGGGAAUGAAGUUAGCAAACAGUAAGGG